Molecule: ribosomal RNA, 367 nt
Filed under: uncultured beta proteobacterium
Lineage: Bacteria; Pseudomonadati; Pseudomonadota; Betaproteobacteria
Description: bacterial SSU rRNA
Rfam family: Bacterial small subunit ribosomal RNA
Source: RNAcentral
GCCUACCAAGGCGACGAUCUGUAGCGGGUCUGAGAGGAUGAUCCGCCACACUGGAACUGAGACACGGUCCAGACUCCUACGGGAGGCAGCAGUGGGGAAUUUUGGACAAUGGGGGCAACCCUGAUCCAGCCAUGCCGCGUGAGUGAAGAAGGCCUUCGGGUUGUAAAGCUCUUUCAGCCGGGAAGAAAUCGUACAGGCUAAUACCCUGUGCGGAUGACGGUACCGGAAUAAGAAGCACCGGCUAACUACGUGCCAGCAGCCGCGGUAAUACGUAGGGUGCGAGCGUUAAUCGGAAUUACUGGGCGUAAAGCGUGCGCAGGCGGUUUUGUAAGACAGGCGUGAAAUCCCCGGGCUUAACCUGGGAACU